This 475-nucleotide ribosomal RNA is filed under the name Candidatus Cloacimonadota bacterium. Its description in RNAcentral is "bacterial SSU rRNA". It matches the Rfam family "Bacterial small subunit ribosomal RNA", at positions 1 to 431 of the family's 1533-position model. The record is from RNAcentral. Lineage: Bacteria; Pseudomonadati; Candidatus Cloacimonadota.
AUGAUGGAGAGUUUGAUCCUGGCUCAGGACGAACGCUGGCGGCGUGGAUUAGGCAUGCAAGUCGAACGGUAGAUAUCCUUUCGGGGAUAUUGAGAGUGGCGAACGGGUGAGUAACACGUAGAUUAUCUACCUUCAAAUGGGGGACAACCCAGGGAAACUUGGGCUAAUACCGCAUGAGUGUGGCGCAUAAUAUAUCUAUUGUUGAGAGAUCAGCGAUUGGGCAUAUUAUGCGUCAUAUAAAAGGUGGCCGCAAGGCUGUCGUUUGGAGAUGAGUUUGCGUUCUAUUAGCUAGUUGGUGUGGUAAUGGCAUACCAAGGCGAUGAUAGAUAGGCGGCCUUAACGGGUGGUCGCCCACACUGGGAUUGAGAUACGGCCCAGACUCCUACGGGAGGCAGCAGUCGAGAAUAGUCUACAAUGGACGAAAGUCUGAUAGUGCGACGCCGCGUGAACGAAGAAUCCCUUCGGGGUGUAAAGU